Molecule: long non-coding RNA, 840 nt
Organism: Colossoma macropomum (tambaqui)
Lineage: Eukaryota; Metazoa; Chordata; Actinopteri; Characiformes; Serrasalmidae
Exons: 3
Source: RefSeq, a predicted model, not a curated record
AAGACAUGACAGAUAACUAUGAUGAUGCUGUUACUGCUGGACCAAACUCCAACAUUAUGAUGAUGGACACCCCAGAGAACUAUGAUGAUUUCAUAGUGCUGAACAGGAUGUAGGAGGGCUAAAAGAUUAUGAUGACGUGGAGGAGGAGCCUCAGACAGAGAUGAAUCAUGUGACUGAGAGACCACAGCCAGUGUCUUUCCUCAGGAAACUGCAUUCAAACCUCUUCAGACGCAAGAAAUGAUUUUAUCAUCGAUCACAAGUCAAAAUGUUUUAUGGAGCAUAAAUGAGAUAAAGUGUUUUAAACACCCCCUAAUUUAUAUAAACAAAUUACAAAUUAGACAUUGUUAACGCUUUUUGACUUUUUCCAACCUUAGAAACAUUUACUGACACAUCUCAUCUCAUUAAAUUAUUCCAUCAAAAUGAUUAUGAUCUUACUUUGAUCUCUUAAUCCAACUUUUUUAUCUUCAUGAAAACAUUUUGUGUCUGAUGUGAUACAGCUCAUCAGUUAACAGAAUUUAAGAGAAAUUAUUCAUUUUUUACCAAAAGCUUCCUUUUUUAAUUAUAAUUUAAGGAAAUUAUUGUUUUGGAUUGAAGGUCUUAAAUUAAAGGGCUGUUCAUUUUCACUGUAGAUCAUUUUGAGGGUAAAGAACUGAAAGAUGUUCUGAUCAGAAGUGAAUGUUCAGUUCAUCAAAUCAGAAACAGGAAAGUGUUGUUUCACUGUAACUAAUUUGUAUAACAGACUUUUAUUUUCAGUGUUGGCGUUAAAAAUCAAGCAGACACUCAUAACUGUUUAUAGUAUUUGAUUUGAUCAUCCCUUUAAUAUAGUAAAAUAAUAAAAUA